Molecule: transfer RNA, 76 nt
Filed under: Actinomycetes bacterium
Lineage: Bacteria; Bacillati; Actinomycetota; Actinomycetes
Also listed under: 4 other names
Description: tRNA-Gly
Rfam family: tRNA
About the family: Transfer RNA (tRNA) molecules are approximately 80 nucleotides in length.
Source: RNAcentral
GCGGACGUAGCUCAGUUGGUAGAGCGCAACCUUGCCAAGGUUGAGGUCGCGGGUUCGAAUCUCGUCGUCCGCUCCA